AUUGAACGCUGGCGGCAGGCCUAACACAUGCAAGUCGAGCGGUAGCACAAGAGAGCUUGCUCUCUGGGUGACGAGCGGCGGACGGGUGAGUAAUGUCUGGGAAACUGCCUGAUGGAGGGGGAUAACUACUGGAAACGGUAGCUAAUACCGCAUAACGUCGCAAGACCAAAGAGGGGGACCUUCGGGCCUCUUGCCAUCAGAUGUGCCCAGAUGGGAUUAGCUAGUAGGUGGGGUAAUGGCUCACCUAGGCGACGAUCCCUAGCUGGUCUGAGAGGAUGACCAGCCACACUGGAACUGAGACACGGUCCAGACUCCUACGGGAGGCAGCAGUGGGGAAUAUUGCACAAUGGGCGCAAGCCUGAUGCAGCCAUGCCGCGUGUGUGAA
Molecule: ribosomal RNA, 385 nt
Filed under: uncultured Serratia sp.
Lineage: Bacteria; Pseudomonadati; Pseudomonadota; Gammaproteobacteria; Enterobacterales; Yersiniaceae
Description: bacterial SSU rRNA
Rfam family: Bacterial small subunit ribosomal RNA
Source: RNAcentral